Molecule: ribosomal RNA, 1280 nt
Filed under: Akashiwo sanguinea
Lineage: Eukaryota; Dinophyceae; Gymnodiniales; Gymnodiniaceae
Description: LSU rRNA
Rfam family: Eukaryotic large subunit ribosomal RNA
Source: RNAcentral
CACGACCUGAAGUCAGGUCAGCAAACCCGCUGAAUUAAGCAUAUAAGUAAGCGGAGGAAAAGAAACUAAAUAGGAUUCUCUUAGUAAUGGCGAAUGAACUGGGAUGAGCUCACCAUGGGAAUCGGGGUCUUCGACCUUGAAUUGUAGUCUUGAGACGCACCGCCAACAGAGGCGCAGGUGUAAGCCUCUUGGAAGAGAGCAUCGCGGAGGGUGAGAGUCCCGUCUGUCACCUGCAGUCCCCUGUGUACGGCAUGCGUUCUGAGAGUCACGUUCCUCGGGAUUGGAGCGCAAAUUGGGUGGUAAGUUUCACCUUAAGCUAAAUAUUGGUCCGAGACCGAUAGCAAACAAGUACCAUGAGGGAAAGGUGAAAAGGACUUUGAAAAGAGAGUUAAAAGUGCUUGAAAUUGCUGAAAGGGAAGCGAAUGGAACCAGUUCUGCUGGGCGAGAUUGUCGCAUGCCAAGGCCCUGUGCCGGCCGCAUGCGGUGCUUCUUGCCUUGUGUGUCAGCUGCGGUCCGAAGUUGGGGAAAACUCUGGGGACAUGGAUGCCAACCUCCGGGGGGGUGAAUGUGCCUGGCAAGACCCGUCCUUGGACUGUGAGCAGUGCUUCGGCAUGUUUGCGGUGCUGACGAAAUGCUUCUAUUCGACCCGUCUUGAAACACGGACCGAGGAGUCUAACAUGUGUGCGAGCUCACGGGUGUCAAACCUGCUUGCGCAAUGAAAGUGACUGCUGGGAUACUUGCACCAGCAACCGAUCUGUCAACUGAGAGAGAUUUGAGUUUGAGCAUACCUGUUAGGACCCGAAAGAUGGUGAACUAUGCUUGUGUAGGGCAAAGCCAGGGGAAACUCUGGUGGAGGCUCGUAGCGAUACUGACGUGCAAAUCGUUCGUCAAACAUGAGUAUAGGGGCGAAAGACUAAUCGAACCAUCUAGUAGCUGGUUCCCUCCGAAGUUUCCCUCAGGAUAGCUGGAGUCGAACAGUUUUAUCAGGUAAAGCGAAUGAUUAGAGGAAUCGGGGACGUGUUGUCCUCGACCUAUUCUCAAACUUUAAAUGGGUAAGAUCUAAUAGUUGCUUCAUUGAACUGUUGGGGUAAAUGUGGACUCUAAGUGGGCCAUUUUUGGUAAGCAGAACUGGCGAUGAGGGAUGAACCUAACGUUGGGUUAAGGUGCUUAACUGCUCGCUCAUCAGAUACCAUAAAGGGUGUUGGUUCAUUUUAACAGCAGGACGGUGGUCAUGGAAGUCGAAAUCCGCUAAGGAGUGUGUAACAACUCACCUGCCGAAU